This is a non-coding RNA of Synechococcus sp., 184 nucleotides long. Lineage: Bacteria; Bacillati; Cyanobacteriota; Cyanophyceae; Synechococcales; Synechococcaceae. The record is from Rfam.
UUCGAACUGCUGCGUUGGUGUUUGCCCUUUCCAGUGUUCUGAUCUGACUCCCUUUUCGACAUGGGAGUGGUGUCGCGAAGGUGACGUAUACCGGCCCUGUAGCCGGAAAUGAAACCCCGCUUUCCUCUCCCUUCUGGUUCUUCCAGGUCGAAGACUGAGGGCUCCACGGCCUGGCGGUUCACCC